CAGAGGUGGCAAGCGUUGUUCGGAAUUACUGGGCGUAAAGGGCGCGUAGGCGGCUUGGUCAGUCCCGUGUGAAAUCCCUCGGCUCAACUGAGGAACUGCACGGGAAACUGCCUGGCUUGAGUUCGGGAGAGGGAAGCGGAAUUCCGGGUGUAGCGGUGAAAUGCGUAGAUAUCCGGAGGAACACCGGUGGCGAAGGCGGCUUCCUGGACCGACACUGACGCUGAGGCGCGAAAGCUAGGGGAGCAAACGGGAUUAGAUACCCCGGUAGUCCUAGCUGUAAACGAUGAGUGCUGGGUGUAGGGGGUAUCAACCCCCCCUGUGCCGAAGCUAACGCAUUAAGCACUCCGCCUGGGGAGUACGGUCGCAAGGCUG
This 372-nucleotide ribosomal RNA is filed under the name uncultured organism. Its description in RNAcentral is "bacterial SSU rRNA". It matches the Rfam family "Bacterial small subunit ribosomal RNA", at positions 526 to 896 of the family's 1533-position model. The record is from RNAcentral.